GUGCCGACCAAUCCGCUUCGCGUCUCACGUACUACGUAGCGUGGUGGGGAGGAGGGAAGGGGGCACUCUCUUCGACGUGGCAACCGUGCGCGCGUGCGCCUCUUGCAAACGCGUUCCCUCGGCUCGGUUCACGCGAAGUUGUCUCUCUGUCGGCACGUCGGCUCUUCGAGUGUCGCAACGUGCAACGUAUUUACGAUCUCCAAUGGUAGCGGUUCGAAUUUCUUAUUGGGUAGAUUUGGGGGGUAGAUUUGGGGUGGUGUCGCAAACCCCCCGGCACGCUUAUCCUUGCAAAAUGCAGGGGGUUCGAAUAUGAGCGAUGGACGACGCAUGGCUUUCAUGUGGAAUACGAAAAACGUUUGCGUACCAAAGACACCGGUUAGGAUCGAAAGAGGAAGUAACAUUUCGCAAAGGGAAAGCCGGAAGUUCAGUCGCAUGACUAGGAAGUUAGAUUUCUCACCGGUUUCAUGGUGGUGCAAUGUCAAGUCCUGAUUAAAAGGUCAAGUGUUAAGCAGAAAUCUCAUUCAUGAGACGGAUGGAUGAAGAAAGAUGACCGUGCAUAGGGUUAUCCGGAGCGUGGAAGAAGAGAAGCAAUGGUUGUAAACCGAGUCGAGACCGCCUGACCUCCCGGAGGCUGUCCGAUAACUUUUAACUGACUCCACAGAAAAAUCAACGGCCGUGUGUUAUCGCGCGGCCUGCCCGCGUCAAUCCGUGUUAUCUUCGUUGCAGAUACGUGGCAGCCAGAAACCAUCGCGGGUGGCGUGAAUCGAGUUGGCAGGUGCGAGUAGCAGUGUAUGGACCCGCGUCAUCCUGAAGAUAAUUCCGGAGGUUUGGAGGGGUCCUCUGUUUUGGCGCUCCAUUUGGUCCAUAAAUAUCACAAGGUUAACAGCGGCCUCCAGUCACAUUGUUUCUCGCGUGCCGAAAUCUUUUCAUACUUGACAGGACAAGCAAUUAUCCAAUAAUAAUUCCAACAAAUGAAUAACAUAAUUAUUACUACUUAUAUUACAUUACUUGUCAUAAUAAUAGGAAGCAUUAGUGUCACAUGUAAAAUUACGAAGAAAGCAAAAAAGA
This is a long non-coding RNA of Cataglyphis hispanica, 1068 nucleotides long. RefSeq lists it as uncharacterized. The record is from RefSeq and is a predicted model, not a curated record. NCBI's taxonomy places the organism in Eukaryota, Metazoa, Arthropoda, Insecta, Hymenoptera, Formicidae. The transcript has 4 exons.